Molecule: ribosomal RNA, 305 nt
Filed under: uncultured bacterium
Lineage: Bacteria
Description: bacterial SSU rRNA
Rfam family: Bacterial small subunit ribosomal RNA
Source: RNAcentral
UGGUUCCUACGGGAGGCAGCAGUAGGGAAUUUUCGGCAAUGGGGGGAACCCUGACCGAGCAACGCCGCGUGAAGGAAGAAGGAAUUCGUUCUGUAAACUUCUGUUAUAAAGGAAGAAAGACGGAUGGAGGAAAUGACAUCCGAGUGACGGUACUUUAUGAGAAAGCCACGGCUAACUACGUGCCAGCAGCCGCGGUAAUACGUAGGUGGCAAGCGUUAUCCGGAAUUAUUGGGCGUAAAGAGGGAGUAGGCGGCAGCAAAGGUCUGUGGUGAAAGACUGCAGCUUAUCUUCAGUAAGCCAUAGAC